This 1221-nucleotide ribosomal RNA is filed under the name metagenome. Its description in RNAcentral is "bacterial SSU rRNA". It matches the Rfam family "Bacterial small subunit ribosomal RNA", at positions 280 to 1520 of the family's 1533-position model. The record is from RNAcentral.
UCAGUAGCCGGACUGAGAGGUUGACCGGCCACAUUGGGACUGAGAUACGGCCCAGACUCCUACGGGAGGCAGCAGUGGGGAAUAUUGGGCAAUGGGCGCAAGCCUGACCCAGCAACGCCGCGUGAAGGAAGAAGGCUUUCGGGUUGUAAACUUCUUUUAAGUGGGAAGAGUAGAAGACGGUACCACUUGAAUAAGCCACGGCUAACUACGUGCCAGCAGCCGCGGUAAUACGUAGGUGGCAAGCGUUGUCCGGAUUUACUGGGUGUAAAGGGCGUGCAGCCGGGCAUGCAAGUCAGAUGUGAAAUCUCAGGGCUUAACCCUGAAACUGCAUUUGAAACUGUAUGUCUUGAGUGCCGGAGAGGUAAUCGGAAUUCCUUGUGUAGCGGUGAAAUGCGUAGAUAUAAGGAAGAACACCAGUGGCGAAGGCGGAUUACUGGACGGUAACUGACGGUGAGGCGCGAAAGCGUGGGGAGCGAACAGGAUUAGAUACCCUGGUAGUCCACGCUGUAAACGAUGGAUACUAGGUGUGCGGGGACUGACCCCCUGCGUGCCGCAGUUAACACAAUAAGUAUCCCACCUGGGGAGUACGAUCGCAAGGUUGAAACUCAAAGAAAUUGACGGGGGCCCGCACAAGCGGUGGAUUAUGUGGUUUAAUUCGAAGCAACGCGAAGAACCUUACCAGGUCUUGACAUCCUGCUAACGAAGUAGAGAUACAUUAGGUGCCCUUCGGGGAAAGCAGAGACAGGUGGUGCAUGGUUGUCGUCAGCUCGUGUCGUGAGAUGUUGGGUUAAGUCCCGCAACGAGCGCAACCCCUAUUGUUAGUUGCUACGCAAGAGCACUCUAGCGAGACUGCCGUUGACAAAACGGAGGAAGGUGGGGACGACGUCAAGUCAUCAUGCCCCUUAUGACCUGGGCUACACACGUAAUACAAUGGCGGUCAACAAAGGGAUGCGAAGCCGCGAGGCAGAGCGAACCCCAAAAAGCCGUCCCAGUUCGGAUCGCAGGCUGCAACCCGCCUGCGUGAAGUCGGAAUCGCUAGUAAUCGUGGGUCAGCAUACCACGGUGAAUACGUUCCCGGGCCUUGUACACACCGCCCGUCACACCAUGAGAGUCGGGAACACCCGAAGUCCGUAGCCUAACAGUAAGGAGGGCGCGGCCGAAGGUGGGUUCGAUAAUUGGGGUGAAGUCGUAACAAGGUAGCCGUUCGAGAACGAGCGGCUG